Molecule: non-coding RNA, 175 nt
Filed under: Dongibacter bovis
Lineage: Bacteria; Bacillati; Bacillota; Negativicutes; Selenomonadales; Selenomonadaceae
Source: RNAcentral
GGUGUCGCAAGACUUAAUAGGGAAGCCGGUAGGAGCCGCUGAUGCAUCAGUGGUUCCGGCAAAGCCGGCGCGGUCCCGCCACUGUGAGGGGAGUAGCUUUGCAUGAUGUCACUGGAGAAAAUCUCUGGGAAGGCGCAGAGCGGCGAUGAACCGAGCCAGGAGAACUGCCUGCUCA